UGGGGAAUAUUGCGCAAUGGGCGAAAGCCUGACGCAGCGACGCCGCGUGCGGGAAGAAGGCCUUCGGGUCGUAAACCGCUGUCAGGAGGGAAGAAACCAUUAGGGUCGAAUAGGCCCUUUUGCUGACGGUACCUCCAGAGGAAGCACCGGCUAACUCCGUGCCAGCAGCCGCGGUAAUACGGAGGGUGCAAGCGUUAAUCGGAAUCACUGGGCGUAAAGCGUGCGUAGGCGGCUUUGCGAGUCAGGGGUGAAAGCCCUCGGCUCAACCGAGGAAUUGCCUUUGGAACUGCUUGGCUUGAGUACUGGAGAGGCAGGCGGAAUUCCGGGUGUAGGGGUGAAAUCCGUAGAUAUCCGGAGGAACACCAGUGGCGAAGGCGGCCUGCUGGACAGAUACUGACGCUGAGGUACGAAAGCGUGGGGAGCAAACAG
RNAcentral lists this ribosomal RNA (429 nucleotides) under uncultured bacterium. RNAcentral describes it as "bacterial SSU rRNA". It matches the Rfam family "Bacterial small subunit ribosomal RNA", at positions 355 to 775 of the family's 1533-position model. The record is from RNAcentral.